Cryptomeria japonica (Japanese cedar) is the source of this 4749-nucleotide long non-coding RNA. RefSeq lists it as uncharacterized. NCBI's taxonomy places the organism in Eukaryota, Viridiplantae, Streptophyta, Pinopsida, Cupressales, Cupressaceae. The record is from RefSeq and is a predicted model, not a curated record. The transcript has 2 exons.
UCAUAUCGACGGCCCAUCAAAAGCUCCAACGCGGAACCCUAAUAAAAUUUCCCAAAACCCUAAUUUGGUCGAGGAAACCCUAAAUCCGUUUCUCCUCUUUUAAUUGCGCUCAUCUGUACAUUAUUUGCACAAAAUAAUUUUUGGUGAGGCGAGUGGGUUCUUAGCAUUAUCUUGCGAGGUUGUGUAUUUUUUUUCGUUGCAAAAUCUGUGGUAUGGAACAAAGCUGAUGCGAUGAUGAUAGAAUUUAAUGGACUAGAGUUUCCGAUCCAAAAGGAGUUGACGAACAACCCUUGGCUGUCUGAGCAUUAGCUUAUAGGUUACAACGCGCCCUUUACCAAUAUCACAGUCUGAAAUCUGUGUCUGAUGAUGUAAUGGCUUGGGCGCCAUAUUAAUUUACGUUUGCGUGUGGCUAUUCAGACCAUUGGCUUACCUUUGUGCCCUUGGCUCGGGAAACUCCACAUACAGUAAUUUCUCCGCUCUUCUCAACUUUAAAUUUCUUCAUCUAUUAUUAGGGUUUAGAUUUGGUAGGUGCUUCUGCAAUAAGUAUCCUAGCAGUUAUGCUGGAACUGUUCACGCUUUCUGUGUUCGACAUUUCCGUGCUUUUGGUUCUGCUUGUAAUAUUUAUGGACUCUCUGAAAAAGGAAACUGAUUUGUUAAGUUUGCAGAGUGGAAAACGUCUAUUGUUUAGUCCUUUAGUUAUUGAAGCAUGCAAGGCGUUCUAAAUUAAAAUUUAGAAGUGGAAAGUUCAGGGUUUUGAUUUAGAUAUAAACUCCAUGUUGAAUCAUGUGGAAGACAGCCAAGAGAACGCAGAGUGCCACAGUACCGAGACAUCCAAGAGAACACACAGUGCCAGAACACAUAUACAGGUAUUUGUUCAGCCUAUACGACAGGCAAGAUACCCCAUAGUGACAGGUAUUCUAUUCAUUCUUUACUUUUUAUUUGUAAACAUGAAUUUCAGUCGGCACACCUUUCUUUUUUCUAAGCCCUCAUUAAAACCAAAAUCUACAGAAACAGCCCCAAUUUCAUUGCAUGCGGUCAACAAAAUUGAAGCAAAUGAUCCAAAGUUUUGUUGCGAACUUUUUUAAAUAAUGAGGCAUAUUAGCAUCAACGAAAUUAGAACAUUCAGAUAUAAGCUUCCGAGGAAUCACAAAAUUGUCGAUUUGGUACAGCGUGAGAUUGCGAUGGAUUCUCUGCUUAAUAGUCAUAGCAACUUCAAACAUAUAUAUGUAGAUUACACAAAAAUUAAAGGAACAUCAAAUGGGUUAAAAAGGAAUUUAUAAAAUGAGUUUUCUAGGAAACCCUUAACAUGCAAUACCUAACCGAUGUGGCAGACAAAAAACAAAUUAUCAGUAGAAAUAGAAAAAAAUGUAGAGAUCAAUAUCAGGCAAAAUGGAUUCUGAAACACUUUCAUCGUAAUAUGACAGACCACAACCGAAAUGGAGCAAGAUAUGAAACGAACCUAGGCAAUUAUCUAUGCAAAUGUCAAAAUAGCAAUGCUCUGUUAAAUUUUUCACGAGGUCGGGUAUCUGACAGGAACAAUUUUUUCGUAACUAAUUAAGCCUGUGCAAAUAUUUAUAAAUAAAAUUAUUGUAAAUAUACAAUUCAUAAAUCAACAGGAGAUGCCACCUGAAUCCAGAAAUGCAUCUUGGAGCAGGGGAAACAAGACAAAUAACUCAUCUAUUUCUGAGGUAAAUAUAAAAAUGUACAACUGUAGUCUUCCUAUUUCAUCUUGUAUCCUCCUACAAGAGAUCUAAGAAACCAUUGUUUAACAUGUCACAUUUCCAGAUUCCCUACAAAUGGUAUCCCGUCUGGUAUCAUUCUCGAUGAACAGACAUAUCAAAAAAGUCUCUUUUAACAAUGAGAGGAUUAUGGGGUACAUCAGCUUCCAAUCUCAACAUAUGCCGAUCUUGUCUCCUGCUUUGUCUCGAUUUGGCAUCCGGAUGAGAAGACACCAACUCCAACAGAAAACCCUCUCCAUUUCCUUUCGAUCAAACACCCAAAAAUCAACAUUGCCAUUCAAUUAGUUUUUUAAGUAUUUGAUUCCUUAAAAAUAAAUAAAAAGAAUUGCAAUUACAUAAUUUUGAAGUAAAAUAUAUUCAAUGAAACCACCAAACAAUCUCGAGUGAGCAGAGCUCAAAAAUUUGAUAGAGCAGAAGUUGAUUCACGGGAAUCGAUAGACAUAUCACCCUGUUUCUUUUGUUAUGUGAUGGGACCCGUCAAAACGUCACAGAGGAGCAAAGAAAAAAAACUUUAUCAUAGUGCAAAGAAAAAAACCUUUAUCAUAGUUUCAGGCAAUAUUUGCACAAGAAAUAGGCCUUAAAUCCUUUGCUGUGCCUGAGCAAAAUAGAGACAAUAAUUACAAUCAUUCCAUCCGCAGUGAGCAAAAUCGAACUCAACAGACUGGCUGAAGAAAAAUGUAAGUUACAGUGAUAAAAUCUUCCAAACAGUGCUAAUCAGACCGUAAUUCAAGAAUGCAGCAAUAAGAUGAAUAAAAUAGCGGAAAAAUUUAGAAAUAUCUUACCGUGCAAAAGUCUGGUAGUCGGGGAAGACUAGAAAAGUUUCUGUAUCAAAAACAAAAUGUGGGUGCUUUUUGCCCUAGAAAUUGAGCUUGUGUUUUGAGUACAUCAUUUUCCCAUUAUAUGUAUAUUUUAUGACCUGUUGUGUAUGAUGUUACAUUUUCAAGCAAUUAAUUACAAGUGGAUUCAAGAAAAUUCUAGAAUGACAUUAUUUAGGAUUCAAUGUAGAGAGUUCAAUACUAGAAUAUCAACUUCACUGUUUCGGAUGUGGGGGGCCAAGACAAGGUAUCUUCUGUACUUGUUUAUAUGCUGCAAUGUCUUAUUGCAUCGAUGUGCAAUUGUUGGAUGUACUCGUCCAUUUAGGUUUUGUCCAAAAAAAUUAAUUGAGUACUUGAUAUGGUCAUUUGUUCAUUCUAACAGACAAAAAAAUUCAAACCUUUUUGGAAGAGCUGUAUUUUAUUCAAAGACCCAUUUUUGCCAUUGAAUUUCAUUUUACAGCUUUAUAAUUUUAUCUCUUUGCACAUUUCUUUUGUGUUCUAUUGCAACCAUAUCAUCAUCUUUCCUGCUUGAAAAUAACAACUAUUUUCUACUAUCAUAAGCACUUCAGAAUUUACUCUCACUUCUCCAACCUAAAAAUCAACUAUAAAUAGCUGGGCCAGAAUGCUCACCUUGAUCGUUUCUUCAUGGUUUUUGACAUGGGCAUAUGAACCGAUGAACCGAAAUACAAAGCAUCAUUUUUGCUUCUACUAAUACAAGCUCUUCCCUGUUGUUCAGCAGCCCAAGAAAGGCUGGACUCUGUUGAAUUCCUACUACUUCUACGGCUGUUGUAAGAGUUGUUUAAUCUAGCACGUCUGUGGCCACUGAACAUGGUUGCUUAUGUGUACAGUAUGUAUGAUAUUCCACUGAACAUGGUUGCCGAUGUUUACGGUAUGUAUAAUUUCACUUCAUAUAUAUACUCCAUCCAAGUUUCAGCUUUCAGAAGGUUAAAAAUGUUAUUUGCAUUAGAAAGCAAAUGGGGUUUUGGGAUAUUCUUAAGAGUGGAGAAUGAUGGUUUGAACUUUGAACCAUUAAUAGUUUGAUCGAUGUGCCUCUCUUCUGAUAUGGUUCCGCUGCUCCACCUCUCUCUUUACAUGGUUUCGUUGCCCCACCUAUCUCUUUACAUCGUUCUAUUGUUCCCCGUCUCUUUAUUUAUACAAUAAACAAUGGCUUCAUUUACACGUGUAGUGGACUAUUGUCUGAAAAGCGAACCCUUCUUUUUUUCAAGCUUCAUAUCCUUAUUGGCUUCAACAUGCGGCAUAUUUUGUAAUAUUUGAUAUAAUUCAGUGGGUAGUAAGGUCUCACAGGUUGGAAACUGAUUAAAAUAUAUUAAGAGGCGGUUGCUGAUCGUAUUUGGUAGAUUUCCAAAUGUUAUUUUUCUUUUUUAAAUUGUUUUUAAAUAUUGCGUUGCUCUCAUUCAUUUAUUAGUCUACCCUGCAUUGGAACUGCAAGUGACUAUGUUAUAAUUGUGUUCAUGGAAAGGGUAGGCCAUGAGCAAGGAGCUUCCCUCGACACAGCAAAAGAUUGAUUCUCUUUACUAGAUGAACCGUAUUUGAUAAAAUCCCUGCAAUAUUCUCCAUUAAUCACUCCAUUAAUUAGCUUUUAUGAUGACUUAUUACUACCCCCAAUUGCAGACAUCAUAUAGCAGUAGUAUGCAAAAUGUGUAAGAAGGCAAAAGGCAUGCCAACUGUUUGGCAGAACGUCUCAAAGAAAUAUGGUUUCGUGGAAUGCCAUGAUUGCAGGAUGUGCACAAAACGGGUCUUUUGGAAAGGCUUUAGAAGCCUUCAAUGAAAUGCAAUUGGCGUGUGUAGACACAAAUUCCACAACGUUUGCUACCGUCCUCACUGCCUCUGCAAAAUAGGAGCUUUCAAAUAGGGUACAGACAUCCAUAGAAGCAUAAAAGACUUUUGUAAGAUGUUAUAGUUUAACUGCCUUGAUAGACAUGCAUACAAAAUGUAUAAGGAUAGACGAGGCAUGUGAACUGUUUGACAGAAUGCCUCACAGAAAUGCGGUCUCAUGGAAUGCGAAUGGUAUAAUCAUAACACUAGUACUCAUAAUAGUUAUAACUUAGGGAUGCAUAUACAAGAUAAAUGUACUACUGAUUUAAUCUAGAUUGCAAUUUUCAAUAAAUUGAGAUGAUAAACUAAUUAAAAAAUGACUUGACCUUCUAAUUUAUAUAAUUAAAAUUUCAUGGUUA